CAGCUCCUCUAUCUCUCUCUAUGAUCUCUCUCUCUCUCUCUACCUUCUCCCUCUACACUCCUCCUCAUCAUCAGCAUCCAUGGCUGCCACCGGCCAUCCCAGCACUGGCAAGCCUCCUUUCCCCCUUUUCUCCUCUUUCUCUCUCUCCAUCAACCACCACGAGCAGCCCCCCCCCCCCAACUAUGAUCAACGUCCCUCCGUUCUUAUGAAAUCCAUGCGCCACCCCCAGAUAUACCAUGAGCCACCGACGAACAACGACAGUCUGAUCUCCAUCUUUCUCACUGCUAGUCAGCGACCAGAGCACGCCGCCGCCCUGUUCUCUGCAUCUCUACCAUCGGUCAGCCUCAAAACCCUUCUCCUAUCACCACUUCACGACCAUGCAGUCACGAGUUUAUACCAUUUUGCCUCACCGGAGGUCAUGACCGGUGAGGUAUCGAUUGGUAACCCCUCCGACUAUGUUUGAUCGAUAGACACCAUCACAGGUCGGGAUUAUUUGAAGAGUCGCCGGAACGUUAAACAUAAUACGUUAUUCCUUACACCUGCCGUUUUUCCUUUCUUAUUUUUGUAUCAUUUGAUUUGUAACAUUAUUGUAAAGACAUUAUUAUUGUAAUAAUAAAAUUUGGGACUGCUUUGGGGGAUGGGAAUUUACGUGCUCUAUGAAUAGUAUUGAUAGGCACAAUUUAGGUUUUACUUAUGUUACAUGGUACGUGGAUAAUUCCUGGACUAAUAACAUAAUUUUUAAGCAUGUUAAAAUAUCAAAUUUUAAGCAUUUCAACAAGUUAAUUUGUAGAUCAAGAAUGUCAUUUUUUUUGACAUAUCAAGGCAAUUUCAACUUGUUAGCAUGAAAUUUCUGCACUGUUUGCAUAAUUUUCAGCAUGUUAAAAUGUUAGAUUUUAGGCAUUCUUAACAUGUUAAACACUAGAUUUAAAUACACCACUGUGUCCCUUAACAUGUUAAUGUGCUUUCCACAUUUUUCUAGUUUCUUAUACUCUCAUUAUUUUUAUGACACUUGCACAAUAAAUUCGUGAGCACAAUUCCUUGACACAUUUACCACACACUUGACACCCUCUUUUAACAAUUUGAACACGAAUCACAGUUACAUUUUGUCACGCUAUCACUUGUUGAACACUUAGAUAUCAUGCCCACAGGUUAAUGACACAAAAUAAGUAAUUAUUUGUCUUUGCAUGUUCAUCACAUUAAUCAUCUUUAAUAACCACGGGGCUAAUGUGAGACAUUACUUGCUACUUGAUGUUCAAUGUGUUACGCGUCUCGAGUCUUAGGCAACAUAGCUUUAUUUUGUCUAGACCAUAAAACCAAUAUAGCAAAGUCCAAUGCCUCUUGGGCUAUAGGCGGGACGAUAUGUAUUACUAAAUACGCUAGUUUUAUCCUUGUCUUAGAACGCCUUUAGAGUUAACAACCAAUCUAGGUGGAUGGGACAGGUAGUCAUUUGAACGUGAUGAUCUCCAACCGACAUUAAAGGUAAGACAUAUGACUUGUCUAAGAGUUCGGCCAGUGGGUCAACUGAUGAUUAAACAAGUUGGGGUUCUGAUCCGAAUGAAAUCAAAAACAUUUCUUUAUUUAAUUUGAUGAAUUUUGUUUAUUCUUUUAUUUACUUUACAUGAUUAUUUAUCUGGGGUAGUUAGUUUAUUAUAUAAGCAGUCCCCUUUGUUGUAAAGUAUGUCAUUUCUUUCUCCUUGCUUGUCUCAUCACAUGUUUUUAGUAAUUUUAUCACUUAGAUAAUUAAUAAUUAGAAGCAAUAAAAAUAGUGUGUUUGUUUAUUAAUUGUUUUAUCACUUAGUUAAACAUUAAAUUAAUAAUAAAACAAGAGACCUUAUUUGAUCACAUAGAAACCCCAUGUAAAGUACGAAUUCGGCUGGGAACCACUUUGUAGACCUCGAAAGGUGCCUAACACCUUUCUUUCAAGGUAAUUUGAACCCUUACUCGAAUCUUUGGUGAACUAAGAUAAAACAACAAAAUAGGUUCGUAGUAGCCUAGACCGGUGCCCUAACGCACCUUAAUUCGUUAGGUGGCAACUCUUCACACUUCUUUUCAAAAUAAUUUUAAAAAGAGUGGUCACGUAGAAUCUCGCUUUCCGCGAGAAAAAUGAGGCGCGACAUUGACCAGUGAGCUAGAGGAGAUGUCUGCUCACUUGGCGCAAAAGGAUACAAAACUUGCUACUCUAAAGGAAACUCACUUAAUGGGGCAAGAGAAGGGACUAGGUAGAAGUAAGAGUCUACAAUCUGUAAUGAAAUGCUAAGGUCUAAGAUUCAGAAUUUGGAAGCCAAAGUUGAGGACUUGACUAAACAACCUUUGAAGAACCAUGCCGCUGAAAAUGAACAAAUAACUCUCUUUCUUCGCUAAUUUUUUGGUCCUUUUUCUGAUCCUUCUACCUGAUGUCUAUCCAACCUGGUCCCAACCAUGUCUUGUAGUCUUAAGCCCCUUCUUUUAAGCCCUAUCUUUUAGUUGUUAUCGUGGUAUUUAUCUUGUACUUAGUUCUUGAUGCCAUUUUCUAGACAUUAUAUGAUGCUGGCCUUUAUGAUUAAUGAAUAUUUUGUGUGUUGAUGUUAUCAUCUUUCCUUUUUUAUAUGAUUUUACUUAUUUAUGUUAGUGUAGCAUCAAUGUCUAGAAGUUAACAUGUGUGCUUAUCUUUUGCGUGGUUUACUGUUUAACUCUUUAAUGAUGUCAAAAUAGGGAAGAUAAGGUAUAUAUAUGUGUAAGUAGUUUAGGGACCAGGUUCUUAUCGGCAGGGGGGAAGUGCUUUAUUCUUAUUUUAUCUUUGUUUAGCAGGUAUCAGUGACAGGAGGAAAAGACUUGUAGUGAAUCUUGUGAUAAGAUGAGUAUGGUUUGUAAUCAUCAAAAGGGGGGAAAUUGUUAGUUUUCUAGUUUUGAUGAUUGACAAACCAACCUUGGGACCUGGUUCAGUAGAGCUAUGCAUAGCCUUUUGAUUAUAAAAAUUGCAACCACUUAGACACCAGGUUCAUCUGGACUAUGCCUUUCUGCGCUAAGUCAGCAAUCUAGCUGGAAAUAGUACCGGGUGGCAGAAAGUUGGUGGCAAAGCUGUAACACCUUUUUUCUUCAUCCAAUCAAAAGAAUCGCAGGCUUUCUUUUCUUAUAUAUAUGCAACAUGUUACAACAAGAAAACCUAAGCUUCCAUAUACAAAGAACAUUAAAUCUCUCUUGAAGUAAAUAUUUAAACCAAAGCCUCACUUGCAACAGGGACCCGCUCAAUGGUUACGUUUAUCUUAAGCUCAUGUUGUACUUCAGUCCUUGUUUAGUGAUUUGUCAUUGUUACGUACUGCUCUAGUCAAUAAAUUGUAGGUUUCCUCAUUCUUUAUUGUUUUCAUGCGUGUUGAGUCCGCCAUAGUUAGUUAACAUUGAGGCUAGAGUUAGGAUGUUAUUGAUUCAGUUAGAUUUAGUUGGUUUAAUAGUGCAACAGAGUUAUUACUUUAGAGUAUUGCAAUAGAGCUAUUGCAAGUUGUUGAAGUUUCAGAGGUUAAUCCUUUAACCAUAGAGUAUGUAUUUGAGUUUUCUUGAAGAUAGUAAAGUGGUUGAAAAUCCUACAUGGUAGGUCAUGGUUUUACUCCCUUGAGCAAGGAGGUUUCCACGUAAAUAUUGUGUGUGCAUUGUUUGUUUUUGUUGCAUUUUUUUUAUCUAAUCUUGUUCAUUACUGCAUACAUUAGUUAGGGACCAGGUCCCUAAGUUGGUGGGAUAGUCGUACAGCUUUUCAAGGGUAAAUAUGUUAAGUUUAGUAAUGAGAAGAGCAUAUUUGAUCCUAUAGUAAAAUGACAAGGGCAUAUUUUGCUCCAUAAUAUAACUAGGAGUAAAUUAAACCAAUUAAGUAGAGAAGUAUUUUUUUUACCCUUUUACCUUUUUAAAAUUCUACUUUUAACUAAUAAGAAUAAUAUAUAUUAACAAAUACACUAAUUUUAAGAAAAAGAAAAAAAGAAAUUGGGUCCAAGAUCAAGCUCGAGAUCAGGUCUCGAGUCUAGGUCAUGUUUAUGAACAAGGUUGUAUUUGAGGGUCGAGUCCUAAGUUGGAAUUGAGGGUCAUUUUUCAAAUCUUGCUUCAAGGUCGAGUUGAGUUUUGUUUUUCAAGUCAAGUAUCGAGUCUUAAUUCUAAUUGAGGUUCGAGUUGAAAUUUGGAGAUAGGUAGAGGGUCGGGCCUCAAAUUGUGAUUGGGGUCAAGUAUCGGGUCAAGGUCAACAAUCAGAUCUUGAGUUAGACCAGGGUGAGAUCGAGAGUUCGAUUCUGAGUUAAAGUUAGGGCCAGAAUUAAAACUUGGGUUGUAUCGGGGUCGAAUCUCGAAUCUAGGUCGAGCUGAGGUUUGAACUUUGUGUUCAUUUUAUGUCAGGGAUCGAGUCCUAGGUUGGGGUAGGGAUUGGAUACUUAGUUGUUAUUGGGUAGGGAUUAAGUCACUAGUUGGGUCGGGAGUCAAGACCCAAAUCGAUGUAGGGUCAAGUCACUAGUUAAGGUUGGAGUCGAGGGUCGAAUCUUGAGAUGGGGAGAGUCAAGGUUAGGGUACCUAAAUGAGCCUUAGUCCUGAAACAAAAAUGAAAUCGAGUUUCAAGUUGGGUUAAAGAGUUGGUAUCGAAUUUCAAGUCGAGCA
This is a long non-coding RNA of Capsicum annuum, 4605 nucleotides long. RefSeq lists it as uncharacterized. NCBI's taxonomy places the organism in Eukaryota, Viridiplantae, Streptophyta, Magnoliopsida, Solanales, Solanaceae. The record is from RefSeq and is a predicted model, not a curated record. The transcript has 3 exons.